This 809-nucleotide ribosomal RNA is filed under the name uncultured bacterium. RNAcentral describes it as "bacterial SSU rRNA". It matches the Rfam family "Bacterial small subunit ribosomal RNA", at positions 8 to 796 of the family's 1533-position model. The record is from RNAcentral.
AGAGUUUGAUCAUGGCUCAGAGCGAACGCUGGCGGCGUGCCUUACACAUGCAAGUCGAACGUGAAAAGGGGCAACCCUGAGUAAAGUGGCGUACGGGUGAGUAACACGUAGAUAAUCUACCCCAGAGUCUGGAAUAACCUGCCGAAAGGCGGGCUAAUACUGGAUAGAGCGAUGGAAUCCGUAAUUGGGUUUUUCGGGAAAGGGAGGAAGCAAUUCCCUUCGCUCUGGGAUGAGUCUGCGUCCCAUUAGUUAGUUGGCGAGGUAAAAGCUCACCAAGACGAUGAUGGGUAGCUGGUCUGAGAGGAUGAUCAGCCACACUGGAACUGAAACACGGUCCAGACUCCUACGGGAGGCAGCAGUGGGGAAUCUUGCGCAAUGGACGAAAGUCUGACGCAGCCACGCCGCGUGAGUGAAGAAGGCCUUCGGGUUGUAAAGCUCUGUCGAGCGGGACGAAAACUUCUAGGGUUAACAGCCCUAGGAACUGACGGUACCGCUAGAGGAAGCACCGGCUAACUCCGUGCCAGCAGCCGCGGUAAUACGGAGGGUGCAAGCGUUGCUCGGAAUUAUUGGGCGUAAAGGGUAGGUAGGUGGUCUCAUUUGUCUGGGGUGAAAGCCUUGAGCUUAACUCAAGAAGUGCCCCAGAAACGGUGAGACUAGAGUUCUGGAGAGGGUCGUGGAAUUCCCGGUGUAGCGGUGAAAUGCGUAGAGAUCGGGAGGAACACCAGAGGCGAAGGCGGCGACCUGGACAGAUACUGACACUCAACUACGAAAGCGUGGGGAGCAAACAGGAUUAGAUACCCUAGUAGUCC